UCUAUGAACGAGUUCUAAGCGCGAGGAACCAGCAGGAGGACAAGGUUCUGAUGCUGCCGCUUUGUACUUGCGGGUCCCCGUCGUCAUCAUCUGAGGGGCACACGUCCGACCACCCGAGGCUGUAAGACCAGAGUGCCCAGGGGACACGGAGGCCCCAGGACAUUCGGGAGCUCUGACACAGGGCACGGGCAUUGGUGGCUUCGGAGGCUCUCGGGCUCAGCAGUGACCGCUCUACAGGGAGACCAGCUCCUGGGGUGCUUACAGUCAGCGUGUCUCAGCACGGAUGCCACAUUUGGAGACCUCAGGAUUUGGAGUGUUUCUACGUCUGGGGUGGGCGAGGGGGUCCCUGGCGCUUGGACACGGGACUCCGGGGCUGGAGCCCACGUCUGCAUCCUGAAGAGUCCCCAGCCGCCGAUAAAAGGUAAAAGGGCGUCGAUGCCAUUUCCUGCCAUGAUUUCCCCUCCUGGACUGAGGGACGCUGCUUUCAGAAGCCGGAGGAAGAUCCGUAAGACUCGGAAGGCGGCCACGCCAACGUUGCCAAGAGUGGCCAGACCCCCGCACAGAAUACUCCCGGGCCUCACAGAUAAGGUGGAAAGACACAUUUGAACAGAAACUUCCGUUCUGCCCUCAAGCCGCAUAUGGAGUCUGAAGAGAAAAAA
Suricata suricatta (meerkat) is the source of this 659-nucleotide long non-coding RNA. RefSeq lists it as uncharacterized. The transcript is spliced from 3 exons. NCBI's taxonomy places the organism in Eukaryota, Metazoa, Chordata, Mammalia, Carnivora, Herpestidae. The record is from RefSeq and is a predicted model, not a curated record.